Nematostella vectensis (starlet sea anemone) is the source of this 426-nucleotide long non-coding RNA. RefSeq lists it as uncharacterized. The record is from RefSeq and is a predicted model, not a curated record. The transcript has 3 exons. Lineage: Eukaryota; Metazoa; Cnidaria; Anthozoa; Actiniaria; Edwardsiidae.
CUAUAGCAGGACUUUAUUAAAUUAUUAAUCGACAUUUUUGCGGCUAUAUAAUUAUUCCGUUGCAUUCAUAAAUGCAAAGAACCCCGGAAUAUAUGUGUUGAAAGCGUAUUUCAGUUACUGAAAAGAAACUCGACGGCGUCACCAAUAGAAGUUAAAAUACGGAAUUGUUCUCCUAAACGAGCGAACACCACAAGGCAAACAACAUGGACAGUCAAGGUGAACUGUUAAUACCCAAAAGCCAUGAUGUGAGACUGUAUGAAGACAUGGAUAAUGAGCAGCAUAAUUAGCAAAAUAUUUAGCUUUCCUUUCUUCCCUUUAAAAUAUGUUUUUUCUUUCAAUCAAUCUGCAUUCUUCUCCUGGGAAAAAAUAUUUUUGAUGUUUGGUUGAUAUUGCCCUAAAAUUUUAGCAAUUAAAAUAAACAAAACU